Molecule: ribosomal RNA, 507 nt
Filed under: Triticum aestivum (bread wheat)
Lineage: Eukaryota; Viridiplantae; Streptophyta; Magnoliopsida; Poales; Poaceae
Description: partial small subunit ribosomal RNA
Source: RNAcentral
CUAGCCCAGGCCGCAUUCACGCACUUCUCUUCCGUUCUCGACGCCCCUACCGCGCGCGGGUUCACCCUCGACCUGGCGGCCAUUGGCCAGCGCUCCUUCGACCUCUCUGCCUUGGAUCGCUCAUUCUCGUCGGCGGAAAUCUGGGAGGCUAUCAAGCGGCUCCCUUCUGGAAAGGCACCCGGCCCCGACGGAUUCACUGCCGAGUUUCUACGCUCGUGUUGGCACAUAAUCAAAGACGACCUUUGCGACGUCUUCGACAAGCUCUACGCGCUAAAUGGCCACGCCUUCCAGCGGCUCAAUGAGGCAUACAUCACUCUGCUUCCUAAGCGACCCGACGCCGCCUCCCUCUUUGAUUAUCGGCCGAUCAGCCUCAUCCAUCUGAUCGCGAAGCUCUUUGCUAAGGUUCUUUCGCUCCGCUUGGCGCCGCGCCUCGGCGAACUCAUCUCCACCAACCAAAGUGCCUUCAUCUCGGGACGGAGCGUUCAUGAUAACUUCCUCCUCGUCUAG